GUGAGGUAACGGCUCACCAAGGCAUCGACGGGUAGCUGGUCUGAGAGGAUGAUCAGCCACACUGGGACUGAGACACGGCCCAGACUCCUACGGGAGGUAGCAGUGGGGAAUCUUGCGCAAUGGGCGAAAGCCUGACGCAGCAACGCCGCGUGCGGGAAGAAGGCCCUCGGGUUGUAAACCGCUUUCAGUAGGAACGAAAAUGACGGUACCUGCAGAAGAAGGUGCGGCCAACUACGUGCCAGCAGCCGCGGUGACACGUAGGCACCAAGCGUUGUCCGGAUUUAUUGGGCGUAAAGAGCUCGUAGGCGGUUCGGUAAGUCGGGUGUGAAAACUUUGGGCUUAACCCAAAGCCUGCAUCCGAUACUGCUGUGACUAGAGUUCGGUAGGGGAGCGGGGAAUUCCUAGUGUAGCGGUGAAAUGCGCAGAUAUUAGGAGGAACACCGGUGGCGAAGGCGCCGCUCUGGGCCGAUACUGACGCUGAGGAGCGAAAGCGUGGGUAGCAAACAGGAUUAGAUACCCUGGUAGUCCACGCCGUAAACGUUGGGCACUAGGUGUGGGUCUCAACCAACGAGAUCCGCGCCGUCGCUAACGCAUUAAGUG
Molecule: ribosomal RNA, 600 nt
Filed under: uncultured Actinomycetes bacterium
Lineage: Bacteria; Bacillati; Actinomycetota; Actinomycetes
Description: bacterial SSU rRNA
Rfam family: Bacterial small subunit ribosomal RNA
Source: RNAcentral